UACAGAGGGUGCGAGCGUUAUUCGGAAUGACUGGGCGUAAAGGGCGCGUAGGCGGUCUUGCAAGUCCUGUGUGAAAUCCCUCGGCUCAACUGAGGAACUGCACAGGAAACUGCUUGGCUUGAGUUCGGGAGAGGGAAGCGGAAUUCCGGGUGUAGCGGUGAAAUGCGUAGAUAUCCGGAGGAACACCGGUGGCGAAGGCGGCUUCCUGGACCGACACUGACGCUGAGGCGCGAAAGCUAGGGGAGCAAACGGG
This 253-nucleotide ribosomal RNA is filed under the name uncultured bacterium. RNAcentral describes it as "partial 16S ribosomal RNA". It matches the Rfam family "Bacterial small subunit ribosomal RNA", at positions 524 to 776 of the family's 1533-position model. The record is from RNAcentral.